RNAcentral lists this long non-coding RNA (276 nucleotides) under Manihot esculenta (cassava). RNAcentral's name for it is "long non-coding RNA (MESC_LNC011856)". The record is from RNAcentral. Lineage: Eukaryota; Viridiplantae; Streptophyta; Magnoliopsida; Malpighiales; Euphorbiaceae.
UUCAUAAUACUUAACAAUGUUCAUAAAAUUUAAAAUAAAUCUAUAAUAUUUAACAAUAUUCAUAAAAUUUAAAAUAAAUUCAUAAUAUUUUACAAUGUUCAUAAAAUUAAAAAGAAAUCCAUAAUACUUAACAAUAUUUAUAAAAUUUAAAACUAAUCUAUGAAUUUGUUGAACCAUCUGAAUCUGCAGUUGUGUUAUGCGGUGAAGAUAUAUUUUUGUUCUUCAAUGAUUUCAUCUGAUCUUUUAUCUGUUUUUCUAUCUGCACUCGCAUUUNNN